GGAGGGGUGGCCGAGCGGCCGAAGGCGGGGGACUUGAAAUCCCCUAAGGGUGGAAAAGCCCUUCGCGGGUUCGAAUCCCGCCCCCUCCG
RNAcentral lists this transfer RNA (89 nucleotides) under Candidatus Acetothermia bacterium. RNAcentral describes it as "tRNA-Ser". It matches the Rfam family "tRNA". From Rfam's summary of the family: Transfer RNA (tRNA) molecules are approximately 80 nucleotides in length. Their secondary structure includes four short double-helical elements and three loops (D, anti-codon, and T loops). The record is from RNAcentral. Lineage: Bacteria; Candidatus Bipolaricaulota. RNAcentral also lists the same sequence under 2 other names.